UGGGGAAUAUUGGACAAUGGGCGAAAGCCUGAUCCAGCCAUGCCGCGUGUGUGAAGAAGGUCUUCGGAUUGUAAAGCACUUUAAGUUGGGAGGAAGGGUUGUAGUUUAAUACGCUGCAAUCUUGACGUUACCAACAGAAUAAGCACCGGCUAACUCUGUGCCAGCAGCCGCGGUAAUACAGAGGGUGCAAGCGUUAAUCGGAAUUACUGGGCGUAAAGCGCGCGUAGGCGGCUUGAUAAGAUGGGUGUGAAAUCCCCGGGCUUAACCUGGGAACUGCAUCCAUAACUGUCUGGCUAGAGUACAGUAGAGGGUGGUGGAAUUUCCUGUGUAGCGGUGAAAUGCGUAGAUAUAGGAAGGAACACCAGUGGCGAAGGCGACCACCUGGACUGAUACUGACGCUGAGGUGCGAAAGCGUGGGGAGCAAACAGGAUUAGAUACCCCGGUAGUC
This 448-nucleotide ribosomal RNA is filed under the name uncultured bacterium. RNAcentral describes it as "bacterial SSU rRNA". It matches the Rfam family "Bacterial small subunit ribosomal RNA", at positions 355 to 795 of the family's 1533-position model. The record is from RNAcentral. RNAcentral also lists the same sequence under 1 other name.